CAUUUUUUUUCCAUCAAAAUAACGCCAUAAAAAUAGGUAAAACCGACACGGCGCAGAGCAUUACCGAUCCCUUCAAAGACGGUGGCGCCGCCGCGCCCGGUGGUGGAGUGUGGUAAUAGAAAGGAAAAUAAGGUACAAUAGGAUUUGGUGGUGGCGGCGUUCCAUAGUUCCCACCACUACCACUACCACUACCACCAGUUGGCGGUGGAUAAUAUAAACCGCCACCUCCACCUCCUCCGGUGGACGCAGGUGGCGGUGGUGAUGAGUAGUAAUACACUGAAGGCGGCGGUGGAGAGUAGUAAGUUGACCCACUACCACCACCGGAGCUGGGUGGUGAAGGAGGAGGAGGACAGUUGUUGGUGGAAGCAGGUGGUGGUGACGGUGGUGGUGGAGAAGGUGGCGGCGGCGAAGAAACUUGACCACAAGGCGUGCACUUCACUUCAUCUUUGGUAACAGUUGUAAGAUUCUUG
RNAcentral lists this long non-coding RNA (470 nucleotides) under Medicago truncatula (barrel medic). Its description in RNAcentral is "long non-coding RNA (MTRU_LNC008230)". Lineage: Eukaryota; Viridiplantae; Streptophyta; Magnoliopsida; Fabales; Fabaceae. The record is from RNAcentral.